This 1164-nucleotide long non-coding RNA is filed under the name Mytilus galloprovincialis (Mediterranean mussel). Lineage: Eukaryota; Metazoa; Mollusca; Bivalvia; Mytilida; Mytilidae. The record is from RNAcentral.
GUGAGGUCCAGACCAUGUGUUGUGUGUUGUUAUAUUUGUUUGUCUAUUUACUCUGAGUAGUCAGGUCCAGACCAUGUGUUGUAUGUUGUUAUAUUUGUUUGUCUAUUUACUCUGAGUAGUCAGGUCCAGACCAUGUGUUGUGUGUUGUUAUAUUUGUUUGUCUAUUUACUCUGAGUAGUCAGGUCCAGACCAUGUGUUGUUUGUUGUUAUAUUUGUUUGUCUAUUUACUCUGAGUAGUCAGGUCCAGACCAUGUGUUGUUAGUUAUUGUAUUUGUUGUCUAUUUACUAUGAGUAGUCAGGUCCAGACCAUGUGUUGUGUGUUGUUUUAUUUGUUUGUCUAUUUACUCUGAGUAGUCAGGUCAGGUUCAGACCAUGUGUUGUGUUGUUACAUUUGUUUGAUAUCACAUUUGAGUAGCCAGGUCCAGACUAUGUGUUGUAAAUUGUUAUAUGCAGUGAGGUCCAAACCAUGUGUUGUGUGUUGUUGUAUUUUAUGUCUUUUUACUCUGAGUAUUCAGGUCAGGUCCAGAUCAUGUGUUGUCUGUUGUUACAUUUGUUUGUAUAUUUACUCUUGAGUAGUCAGGUCCAGACCAUGUGUUGUUUGUUGUUAUAUUAAUUGUCUAUUUACUCUGAGUAGUCAGGUCCAGACCAUGUGUUGUGUGUUGUUCUAUUAAUUGUCUAUUUACUCUGAAGUAGUCAGGUCCAGACCAUGUGUUGUCUGUUGUUACAUUUGUUUGUAUAUUUACUCUUGAGCAGUCAGGUCCAGACCAUGUGUUGUUAGUUGUUGUAUUUGUUUGUCUAUUUACUGUGAGUAGUCAGGUCCAGACCAUGUGUUGUUUGUUGUUGUAUUUGUUUGUCUAUUUACUCUGAGUAGUCAGGUCAGGUCCAGACCAUGUGUUGUCAGUUGUUGUAUUUGUUUGUCUAUUUACUCUGAGUAGUCAGGUCCAGACCAUGUGUUGUGUGUUGUUAUAUUUGUUUGUCUAUUUACUCUGAGUAGUCAGGUCCAGACCAUGUGUUGUGUGUUGUUAUAUUUGUUUGUCUAUUUACUAUGAAUAGUCCAUGUGUUGUUAGUUGUUGUAUUUGUUUGUCUAUUUACUCUCAGUAGUCAGGUCCAGACCAUGUGUUGUUUGUUGUCAUAUUUGUUUGUCUAUUUACUCUGAGUAGUCA